GUGAUAAUUUUGAAUACCUUCUCUUCUGCAAGUUCUGCUUCUUCCGUGAAGAUUGAGCGGCGAUGGACGUGGAGGAUGUUGAGCAGAGUUCAUGGAUUGUUUUGUCAUGAUUAAUAAUUAUUGGAUUUGUCGGGUCUUCAUACUCGGCAUUUUCCGUGUCUUGAACGCUUUCGCUAAGAGUCCUUUUCGUUAGAAUUGUUUAUUCGUGCAGAGUCUAACUCGUUUGAAAAUUGUUUACUAUCCACUCUUUAUUUCCUUAGAUUUGGUAUUAUUGUUAGGAAAAAAUAUUAUGACGUUUUCAAGGUUAAUUCAGUUAUUAAGGUUUUGGUAAAA
Long non-coding RNA from Salvia splendens (bonfire salvia), 333 nucleotides. RefSeq lists it as uncharacterized. The record is from RefSeq and is a predicted model, not a curated record. NCBI's taxonomy places the organism in Eukaryota, Viridiplantae, Streptophyta, Magnoliopsida, Lamiales, Lamiaceae. The transcript is spliced from 2 exons.